RNAcentral lists this ribosomal RNA (464 nucleotides) under Vreelandella stevensii. Its description in RNAcentral is "partial 16S ribosomal RNA". It matches the Rfam family "Bacterial small subunit ribosomal RNA", at positions 338 to 795 of the family's 1533-position model. The record is from RNAcentral. Lineage: Bacteria; Pseudomonadati; Pseudomonadota; Gammaproteobacteria; Oceanospirillales; Halomonadaceae.
CCUACGGUCUCAGCAGUGGGGAAUAUUGGACAAUGGGCGAAAGCCUGAUCCAGCCAUGCCGCGUGUGUGAAGAAGGCCUUCGGGUUGUAAAGCACUUUCAGUGGGGAAGAAAGCCUUGGGGCUAAUACCCUCGAGGAAGGACAUCACCCACAGAAGAAGCACCGGCUAACUCCGUGCCAGCAGCCGCGGUAAUACGGAGGGUGCGAGCGUUAAUCGGAAUUACUGGGCGUAAAGCGCGCGUAGGCGGUCUGAUAAGCCGGUUGUGAAAGCCCCGGGCUCAACCUGGGAACGGCAUCCGGAACUGUCAGGCUAGAGUGCAGGAGAGGAAGGUAGAAUUCCCGGUGUAGCGGUGAAAUGCGUAGAGAUCGGGAGGAAUACCAGUGGCGAAGGCGGCCUUCUGGACUGACACUGACGCUGAGGUGCGAAAGCGUGGGUAGCAAACAGGAUUAGAUACCCCGGUAGUC